GUUGAUGAUGGGGUUGUGGUGACUGCGACAGGGAAGUAUUGGUGGUGGAUGUGGUGGUAGAGGUGGCAGAGGUGGUGCUGGUGGUGUUGGAGGUGGAUCUUAGUUGACGCCGGCGAAGUAAAAGACUGCAGUAAAGCUCAGCUAGCAGCACCAGAACUAGGGCCAAAACAAUGGCAAGGCUCACCACCAUCGCCAGUGUUGCUCCCAUUAUGACCUUGGAGGAGCCCUUCAUCUCUCUCUCUCCCUCUCUCUCUGUGUGCGUGCGCGUGAAGCGUGGAGUAAGAGGCAGUAAAAGAGGGGCUUGUAAUAAAAGGCAGUACUUUUAUGCGAGAAGCUUUUCGUUUUUGGCGGGAAACAGUACUUUUCCUUCGACAAGGAUAGCAGGCAGGAACCGAGGGCAUGGGAAAUUUAAAGGGCUUUUUGUUCUGAUCUAGUGGGGUUUCUCUGACAUUCGAGGUCAUAAGAGUCAUUGAACACGUAACCAUGAAAAAGUACAACGCCCUCUCUCAAGUAAUUGCUAUUAUGAAAAGGAAAUGUUUUACAGAAAGACCAAUCUUAAUCUCAACUUCUCUCGACCAAUGGGUGAAAGUUGAAUAGAAAUA
Molecule: long non-coding RNA, 602 nt
Organism: Populus euphratica (Euphrates poplar)
Lineage: Eukaryota; Viridiplantae; Streptophyta; Magnoliopsida; Malpighiales; Salicaceae
Exons: 2
Source: RefSeq, a predicted model, not a curated record